Molecule: ribosomal RNA, 253 nt
Filed under: uncultured bacterium
Lineage: Bacteria
Description: partial 16S ribosomal RNA
Rfam family: Bacterial small subunit ribosomal RNA
Source: RNAcentral
UACGAAGGGGGCUAGCGUUGCUCGGAAUCACUGGGCGUAAAGCGCACGUAGGCGGCUUUUUAAGUCAGGGGUGAAAUCCUGGAGCUCAACUCCAGAACUGCCUUUGAUACUGAGAAGCUUGAGUCCGGGAGAGGUGAGUGGAACUGCGAGUGUAGAGGUGAAAUUCGUAGAUAUUCGCAAGAACACCAGUGGCGAAGGCGGCUCACUGGCCCGGUACUGACGCUGAGGUGCGAAAGCGUGGGGAGCGAUCCGG